This 497-nucleotide ribosomal RNA is filed under the name uncultured bacterium. RNAcentral's name for it is "partial 16S ribosomal RNA". It matches the Rfam family "Bacterial small subunit ribosomal RNA", at positions 28 to 507 of the family's 1533-position model. The record is from RNAcentral.
GAUGAACGCUGGCGGCGUGCCUAAUACAUGCAAGUCGAGCGAACAGAUAAGGAGCUUGCUCCUUUGACGUUAGCGGCGGACGGGUGAGUAACACGUGGGUAACCUACCUAUAAGACUGGAAUAACUCCGGGAAACCGGGGCUAAUGCCGGAUAACAUUUAGAACCGCAUGGUUCUAAAGUGAAAGAUGGUUUUGCUAUCACUUAUAGAUGGACCCGCGCCGUAUUAGCUAGUUGGUAAGGUAUCGGCUUACCAAGGCAACGAUACGUAGCCGACCUGAGAGGGUGAUCGGCCACACUGGAACUGAGACACGGUCCAGACUCCUACGGGAGGCAGCAGUAGGGAAUCUUCCGCAAUGGGCGAAAGCCUGACGGAGCAACGCCGCGUGAGUGAUGAAGGUCUUCGGAUCGUAAAACUCUGUUAUUAGGGAAGAACAAAUGUGUAAGUAACUGUGCACGUCUUGACGGUACCUAAUCAGAAAGCCACGGCUAACUACGUG